RNAcentral lists this ribosomal RNA (483 nucleotides) under uncultured bacterium. RNAcentral describes it as "partial 16S ribosomal RNA". It matches the Rfam family "Bacterial small subunit ribosomal RNA", at positions 30 to 507 of the family's 1533-position model. The record is from RNAcentral.
AUUGAACGCUGGCGGCAGGCCUAACACAUGCAAGUCGAGCGGAUGAAGGGAGCUUGCUCCUGGAUUCAGCGGCGGACGGGUGAGUAAUGCCUAGGAAUCUGCCUGGUAGUGGGGGAUAAGUCCGGAAACGGGCGCUAAUACCGCAUACGUCCUGAGGGAGAAAGUGGGGGAUCUUCGGACCUCACGCUAUCAGAUGAGCCUAGGUCGGAUUAGCUAGUUGGUGGGGUAAAGGCCUACCAAGGCGACGAUCCGUAACUGGUCUGAGAGGAUGAUCAGUCACACUGGAACUGAGACACGGUCCAGACUCCUACGGGAGGCAGCAGUGGGGAAUAUUGGACAAUGGGCGAAAGCCUGAUCCAGCCAUGCCGCGUGUGUGAAGAAGGUCUUCGGAUUGUAAAGCACUUUAAGUUGGGAGGAAGGGCAGUAAGUUAAUACCUUGCUGUUUUGACGUUACCAACAGAAUAAGCACCGGCUAACUUCGUG